CCGUGGUUACCUCAGUUGGUAGAGCGAUCCAUUCAAAAUGCAGAAGUCCCUAGUUCGAUACCAGGACCAAGCG
This 73-nucleotide transfer RNA is filed under the name Ixodes scapularis (black-legged tick). RNAcentral's name for it is "tRNA-Leu for anticodon CAA". The record is from RNAcentral. Lineage: Eukaryota; Metazoa; Arthropoda; Arachnida; Ixodida; Ixodidae.